AAUAUUGCACAAUGGGGGAAACCCUGAUGCAGCGACGCCGCGUGAAGGAUGAAGUAUUUCGGUAUGUAAACUUCUAUCAGCAGGGAAGAAAGUGACGGUACCUGACUAAGAAGCCCCGGCUAACUACGUGCCAGCAGCCGCGGUAAUACGUAGGGGGCAAGCGUUAUCCGGAUUUACUGGGUGUAAAGGGAGCGUAGACGGGAUAGCAAGUCUGAAGUGAAAGCCCGGGGCUCAACCCCGGGACUGCUUUGGAAACUGUUGACCUGGAGUGCUGGAGAGGCAAGUGGAAUUCCUAGUGUAGCGGUGAAAUGCGUAGAUAUUAGGAGGAACACCAGUGGCGAAGGCGGCUUGCUGGACAGUGACUGACGUUGAGGCUCGAAAGCGUGGGGAGCAAACAG
This 398-nucleotide ribosomal RNA is filed under the name uncultured bacterium. Its description in RNAcentral is "bacterial SSU rRNA". It matches the Rfam family "Bacterial small subunit ribosomal RNA", at positions 360 to 775 of the family's 1533-position model. The record is from RNAcentral.